This 255-nucleotide ribosomal RNA is filed under the name uncultured bacterium. RNAcentral describes it as "partial 16S ribosomal RNA". It matches the Rfam family "Bacterial small subunit ribosomal RNA", at positions 524 to 776 of the family's 1533-position model. The record is from RNAcentral.
UACAGAGGUCUCGAGCGUUGUUCGGAUUCAUUGGGCGUAAAGGGUGCGUAGGUGGCGUGGUAAGUCUGGUGUGAAAUCCCGGGGCUCAACCCCCGGAACUGCACUGGAUACUGCCAUGCUUGAGUACUGGAGAGGAGAUUGGAAUUUACGGUGUAGCAGUGAAAUGCGUAGAUAUCGUAAGGAAGACCAGUGGCGAAGGCGAAUCUCUGGACAGUUACUGACACUGAGGCAGCGAAGGCCAGGGGAGCAAACGGG